UAAAACGUAGGAGGCGAGCGUUAUCCGGAGUUACUGGGCGUAAAGCGCGUGUAGGUGGCUUGUUACGUCUGCUGUGAAAUGUCCCGGCUUAACCGGGACUAGGCGGUAGAUACGGGCAAGCUUGAGGGUGACAGAGGAGCGUAGAAUUCCGGGUGUAGUGGUGAAAUGCGUAGAGAUCCGGAGGAAUACCAGUGGCGCAAGCGGCGCUCUGGGUCGAGCCUGACACUGAGACGCGAAGGCAUGGGGAGCGAACGGGAUUAGAAACCCCGGUAGUCCAUGCAGUAAACGAUGCAGACUGGGUGUGGGUAGCGCAAGCUAUCUGUGCCGAAGCUAACGCGCUAAGUCUGCCGCCUGGGAAGUACGGUCGCAAGACUA
RNAcentral lists this ribosomal RNA (375 nucleotides) under uncultured bacterium. RNAcentral's name for it is "bacterial SSU rRNA". It matches the Rfam family "Bacterial small subunit ribosomal RNA", at positions 521 to 896 of the family's 1533-position model. The record is from RNAcentral.